CCAUGCCGCGUGAGUGAUGAAGGCCUUAGGGUUGUAAAGCUCUUUCAGCGGGGAAGAUAAUGACGGUACCCGAAGAAGAAGCUGCGGCUAACUACGUGCCAGCAGCCGCGGUAAUACGUAGGCAGCGAGCGUUGUCGGAGUUACUGGGCGUAAAGCGUGCGUAGGCGGUGGUCCAAGUCUGGUGUGAAAUCUCCCGGCUCAACUGGGAGGGUGCGCCGGAAACUGGGCCGCUGGAGUGCGGGAGAGGCAAGCGGAAUUCCAGGUGUAGCGGUGAAAUGCGCAGAUAUCUGGAGGAACACCCGUGGUGCAGACGGCUUGCUGGACCGUGACUGACGCUGAGGCACGAAAGCGUGGGUAGCAAACAGGAUUAGAUACCCUGGUAGUCCACGCCCUAAACGAUGCACACUUGGUGUGGGCAGUUCAGUCUGUCCGUGCCGAAGCUAACGCGAUAAGUGUGCCGCCUGGGGAGUACGGUCGCAAGGCUG
Molecule: ribosomal RNA, 485 nt
Filed under: uncultured Acidobacteriota bacterium
Lineage: Bacteria; Pseudomonadati; Acidobacteriota
Description: bacterial SSU rRNA
Rfam family: Bacterial small subunit ribosomal RNA
Source: RNAcentral